GAUGAACGCUGGCGGCGUGCUUAACACAUGCAAGUCGAACGAUUAAGCCCAGCUUGCUGGUUGGUUUAGUGGCGAACGGGUGAGUAACACGUGAGUAACCUGCUCUUGACUCUGGGAUAAGCCUGGGAAACUGGGUCUAAUACUGGUUCUUACUUCUCAUCGCAUGGUGGGGGGUUGAAAGAUUUCUUUGUCUUGGAUGGACUCGCGGCCUAUCAGCUUGUUGGUGAGGUAAUGGCUCACCAAGGCGAAGACGGGUAGCCGGCCUGAGAGGGUGACCGGCAACAAGGGGACUGAGACACGGCCCAGACUGCUACGGGAGGCAGUAGGGGGGAAUAUUGCACAAUGGGCGCAAGCCUGAUGCAGAGACGCCGCGUGAGGGAAGAAGGCCUUCGGGUUGUAAACCGCUUUAAGUAGGGAAGAAGCGAGAGUGACGGUACCUGCAGAAGAAGCGCCGGCUAACUACGUG
This 466-nucleotide ribosomal RNA is filed under the name uncultured bacterium. Its description in RNAcentral is "partial 16S ribosomal RNA". It matches the Rfam family "Bacterial small subunit ribosomal RNA", at positions 28 to 507 of the family's 1533-position model. The record is from RNAcentral.